Suricata suricatta (meerkat) is the source of this 184-nucleotide long non-coding RNA. RefSeq lists it as uncharacterized. The transcript is spliced from 4 exons. The record is from RefSeq and is a predicted model, not a curated record. Lineage: Eukaryota; Metazoa; Chordata; Mammalia; Carnivora; Herpestidae.
GUUUGUCUUUCUCUAAUCCAACAUCUUUUUCCCAUGAGCCCUGAUGAAAAGGAAGGAUGAGGUGUUUAUUCACCCAGGAUCUACACAGUGCUGUGGGUGUUGGCUAGGCCCAUUGGUUUUAAACCUUGAUGGUGAGACUUUGGAUGGUCCGACAAGAACUUUGUGUCUACUUUGGUGUAACCCC